RNAcentral lists this ribosomal RNA (403 nucleotides) under uncultured bacterium. Its description in RNAcentral is "bacterial SSU rRNA". It matches the Rfam family "Bacterial small subunit ribosomal RNA", at positions 356 to 775 of the family's 1533-position model. The record is from RNAcentral.
GAGGAAUAUUGCACAAUGGGCGCAAGCCUGAUGCAGCAACGCCGCGUGAGGGACGAAGGCCUUCGGGUCGUAAACCUCUUUUCUGAGGGACGAGCAAGGACGGUACCUCAGGAAUAAGUCUCGGCUAACUACGUGCCAGCAGCCGCGGUAAAACGUAGGAGGCGAGCGUUAUCCGGAUUUACUGGGCGUAAAGCGUACGCAGGUGGCUUCGUGAGUCGGACAUGAAAGCUCCUGGCUUAACUGGGAGAGGUUGUUCGAUACUGCGGGGCUUGAGGUUGGGAGAGGGACGUGGAAUUCCCGGUGUAGUGGUGGAAUGCGUAGAUAUCGGGAGGAACACCAGUGGCGCAAGCGGCGUCCUGGCCCACACCUGACGCUGAGGUACGAAAGCGUGGGUAGCAAACAG